CCUACGGGUGGCAGCAGUCGAGAAUCAUUCACAAUGGGCGCGAGCCUGAACCAGCCAAGUAGCGUGAAGGAUGACUGCCCUACGGGUUGUAAACUUCUUUUAUAAAGGAAUAAAGUGAGGCACGUGUGCCUUUUUGUAUGUACUUUAUGAAUAAGGAUCGGCUAACUCCGUGCCAGCAGCCGCGGUAAUACGGAGGAUCCGAGCGUUAUCCGGAUUUAUUGGGUUUAAAGGGAGCGUAGAUGGGUUGUUAAGUCAGUUGUGAAAGUUUGCGGCUCAACCGUAAAAUUGCAAUUGAUACUGGCAGCCUUGAGUACAGUUGAGGUAGGCGGAAUUCGUGGUGUAGCGGUGAAAUGCUUAGAUAUCACGAAGAACUCCGAUUGCGAAGGCAGCUUACUAAACUGCCACUGACAUUGAUGCUCGAAAGUGUGGGUAUCAAACAGGAUUAGAUACCCCAGUAGUC
RNAcentral lists this ribosomal RNA (460 nucleotides) under uncultured bacterium. RNAcentral's name for it is "partial 16S ribosomal RNA". It matches the Rfam family "Bacterial small subunit ribosomal RNA", at positions 338 to 795 of the family's 1533-position model. The record is from RNAcentral.